GACGAACGCUGGCGGCGUGCUUAACACAUGCAAGUCGAACGGAAAGGCCCUGCUUUUGUGGGGUGCUCGAGUGGCGAACGGGUGAGUAACACGUGAGUAACCUGCCCUUGACUUUGGGAUAACUUCAGGAAACUGGGGCUAAUACCGGAUAGGAGCUCCUGCUGCAUGGUGGGGGUUGGAAAGUUUCGGCGGUUGGGGAUGGACUCGGGGCUUAUCAGCUUGUUGGUGGGGUAGUGGCUUACCAAGGCUUUGACGGGUAGCCGGCCUGAGAGGGUGACCGGCCACAUUGGGACUGAGAUACGGCCCAGACUCCUACGGGAGGCAGCAGUGGGGAAUAUUGCACAAUGGGCGGAAGCCUGAUGCAGCAACGCCGCGUGCGGGAUGACGGCCUUCGGGUUGUAAACCGCUUUCGCCUGUGACGAAGCGUGAGUGACGGUAAUGGGUAAAGAAGCACCGGCUAACUACGUG
RNAcentral lists this ribosomal RNA (468 nucleotides) under uncultured bacterium. RNAcentral describes it as "partial 16S ribosomal RNA". It matches the Rfam family "Bacterial small subunit ribosomal RNA", at positions 28 to 507 of the family's 1533-position model. The record is from RNAcentral.